UCUCUAAAGCAUCCAGAACUGACUCAGCUGCAUCAGACUGUGCCCUGUGUCCUGUUGGCAUGUCCCCAUGCUUCGUCCCUGGAGUGAACUACAACCUGGGACUUCCAGAGGCGGCUAUGGUUAGGCAGGGAGCAGCCAGUGUUCUGGAGUAGACCCAGACAUAAACCUAAUUCUUGAUUUGAGAACAGUGGCUCCUCUGAACUGGCUUGAUAAUGUGUUACCAGCCGGGGCGAGUCAGCCAUAGAGGGGCCUGGCAAUCCUUCUGCCCUGCAGAUUCUUUGACUCCUUCUUUUCUUUCUGUUGCUUUUGUUUGCCUAGUUGAGACAGGACCUCACUAUGAAGCCCAGGCUAGGCUUGAGUGAGAUCCCUCUGCCUCAGCCCUGCAGGGUGCUGGAUCCGGGAAUGUGCAGGCUCCUUACUGUUUGGAAGGAGGAAUUCUGCAGGGCUCAGAGCCGCAGGUGUUCCAUCCACCCUUCAGCUGCACUUCCUGUGGAUGAGACCCAGAGAAAUGGGAAGAUCAACUGGGCAGCAAGUGACAAUCACCUACUGAAUGUCACUGCUCCUCGAGUCACCAGAACAGACCGUUGUAUGAAUAAGAAUGACGUCUGCGAGCACCCGCCGUGCUCCACUGAUUGUAUGGGAUGCUCCUGGGAUUGGGCCAAGAGGUUCAACUCCAGCACCAGAGGGAGUAGGAUGCCAGGAGAGGCCAGCUUUGCAAACUCCCAACCCCCCGGGUUCUCAGUGGCAGAAGACUGAGUGUACAGGGACCAAGGUGGCUUGUGGUUGAGCUGAGACCACUGCACUUGGAGCAUCUGUAGCUCCAGACCCCUUCGCUUUCCUGACUCUACGGAUGAGGUGAUUCACGCUUGCUUCCUAUUCUGUCUUCAUGGAGUCAAGGAUGCUCUUAGCACCCGUAUUAGUCUAUUCUGGCUCUGAGAAGAGCAUGCUGUAGACUGGGUGGCUUCUAAACAACAGACCUUGAUCUCUUGGCUGUGAAGGCUGACAAGUUCAAGAUCAAGAGAUUCAGUGUCUCACAAAGGCCAGCUUCCGAUGACUUCUUCUCAUUGUGUCCUCCCAUGCCCGAGGGACGGAGUCUUCGGGUCUCAUUCACAAGGGCACUAUCCCCAGGGUCUAGCCAGCUCCCAAAGGUCUGCUUCCUGAUCCUAUCACACCAUGGACCAGGAUUGCAACCUUUGAUUGGAGGGUGGGGCAUAAAUAUCCAGUCACUGACAACACCCUUCCAGAGCCCUUAGGAUUCAAAAUGAUAAGUGAAUUCUCCAUUCUGGAACUGACACCACCUUCUGGAAAGAAAUAUACAGAAAGAGAAAGUAUACUAGUGUCAAGAAGAGAACGUCCCUGCUUUCCCAAAGAUAUACAAGUGGCCAUCUCAGCGGCUCUAGAUUCUAGAUCAUAGCACAGUGGAUAUGUUUGCUUAUAAAGAUAUUUUGAUCUUUUAGUUUAUGACUCAAAUGGAUUGCCAGAGUGGGGAUGAGGAGACCAAAAACAUAUCUAAGGCUCUUAGAACAUCUUUUCAAAUUGCCUUCCAAAUGGGUCAGAUUAAUUUUCAUCUUAUUCGGGAUCGGUACUGGCUGGUUUUGUGUGUCAACUUGACACAAGCUGGAGUUAUCACAGAGAAAGGAGCCUCCCCUGAGGAAAUGCCUUCAUGAGAUCCAGCUGUAGGGCAUUUUCUCAAUUAGUGAUGGGGGGGGGGGCGGGAAGGACCCCUGGUGGGUGGUGCCAUCCCUGGGCUGGUAGUGCUGGGUUCUAUAAGCAAGCAAGCUGAGCAAGCCAGGGGAAGCAAGCCAGUAAGUAACAUUCCUCCAUGGUCUCUGCAUCAGCUCCUGCUUCCUGACCUGCUUGAGUUCCUGUUCUGACUUCCCUUGGUGAUGAACAGCAGUGUGGAAGUGUAGCAGAAAACAGAAGACCAUUCCCUUGCGACUUGAGUCUUUGAGAAUGGGAACUUAAAGAGAGAGCAUGGCCAUUUUCUUCUUUUUCCAGAGAAGGCAUGGACCAGUCACAGGCAGGUGAGAACUAUGCCAUUGCACUUGAACCCAGGAGACAGCUCAGCAGCUAAGAGCGCUUGCUGAUCUAGCAGCAGAAAGAGAGGUUCAGUUUCGAGUUCCUAUGUCUCUAACUCCAGCUCAAAUGGAUCUAUCGCCCCCUUCUGGCCUCUGAGGGCAACUGCACUCACAUGCACAAACCCACCCACAUACAUACAUACAUAACUAGAAAUAAGAAUUACUUUUUAAAAAAACGUCAUGGCAGAGGAGUACCAACAGGCAGCAUGUGUCCAGAACCUCCUCUGGACUAUAGAUUCCUACAGCACUCAGUGGUAAUCAGACAAUGCUGGGAUUGCUAACAGUGAGCUUAGAGCUGUGGCCACUCCAGUUAUAUACAUGAGGCUGUAGCUGGCUGCCAGGAUGGUACUCCUGGGGAGUGGUGGAACCUUCAGGAGGUGCAGUUUAGAGGGAGGUUCUUGUGUCAGGAGGACGUGUCCCUAGAGGGUGUUGGAGACAGCAGUCUCUUUCCUGGUGCCUUUGUCUCCUGGCCAAGAGGAGAGUUCCUGUGCCUGUAUUUCCUGCCACUUUCAUAGCGUGCCCAAAGCAACGGGGCCACUUUUGCAUUGGAACCUCCCAAACCAUGAGCUAAGUAAGUUUUUGUUUAAUAAAAUAUUUGCUUCAGAUCUUUUGUUAUAGUCAUGGCAAGCCACCCAGUACAGAAAAGAACACAGAAGAAAAAGGGCUAAAGGGGACAAAGACUCAGAGCUGAUGUCCUGGUCCUCCACACCUCACCUCUACUCCAGUGACAGACACUCCAAGUUGUCAUUCUGGCCGGUGUCCAUUCUAAUCUUCUCCUAGUUGAGACUCCAGGUAACAAUACAGUUCCCGGUCUCCCUUUCAGCUGGUUGCACUCAAUGAGAGAUGGAUGCAAGCUCUUUGGCUAUUUCUGCUUACCCACUUCUUGGAAUGUUUUCACAAUGUCUGGUGCCCCAGAAGCCAUGAUGAAGCCACCUUGCAGACAGAAGCCAGGUGCUGAGGCUGGGGGAAUAAAACACAGAAAUGUGGCUGCCUUA
Molecule: long non-coding RNA, 3073 nt
Organism: Mus musculus (house mouse)
Lineage: Eukaryota; Metazoa; Chordata; Mammalia; Rodentia; Muridae
Product: predicted gene, 38534
Exons: 4
Source: RefSeq, a predicted model, not a curated record